RNAcentral lists this ribosomal RNA (675 nucleotides) under uncultured bacterium. RNAcentral's name for it is "bacterial SSU rRNA". It matches the Rfam family "Bacterial small subunit ribosomal RNA", at positions 37 to 750 of the family's 1533-position model. The record is from RNAcentral.
UGGCUAGGGGAGAUGAGACAAGAAAGAUCGAAUAAUAAGUGUAGAGUACACGAGCGGCGGACGGGUGAGUAACGCGUGGGAAUCUACCCCAAACUGAGGGAUAAGCACCGGAAACGGUGUCUAAUACCGCAUAUGGUCUUCGGAUUAAAGCUUCGGCGGUUUGGGAAGAGCCCGCGUAAGAUUAGCUAGUUGGUGAGGUAAUAGCUCACCAAGGCGACGAUCUUUAACUGGUUUGAGAGGAUGAUCAGUCACACUGGAACUGAGACACGGUCCAGACUCCUACGGGAGGCAGCAGUAAGGAAUUUUCCACAAUGGGCGAAAGCCUGAUGGAGCAACGCCGCGUGCAGGAUGAAGGCCCUAGGGUUGUAAACUGCUUUUAUAUGUGACGAAUAUGACGGUAGCAUAUGAAUAAGGAUCGGCUAACUCCGUGCCAGCAGCCGCGGUCAUACGGAGGAUCCAAGCGUUAUCCGGAUUUACUGGGCGUAAAGAGUUGCGUAGGUGGUUUGUUAAGCAAAUAAUGAAAUCGUGUGGCUCAACCAUAUCGACUAUUAUUUGAACUGGCAAACUUGAGAAUGAGAGAGGUGGCUGGAAUUCCCUGUGUAGGAGUGAAAUCCGUAGAUAUAGGGAGGAACACCGAUGGCGUAGGCAGGUGACUGGCUCGUUUCUGACACUGAG